RNAcentral lists this long non-coding RNA (1257 nucleotides) under Oryctolagus cuniculus (rabbit). Its description in RNAcentral is "lncRNA (ENSOCUG00000029894.1)". The record is from RNAcentral. Lineage: Eukaryota; Metazoa; Chordata; Mammalia; Lagomorpha; Leporidae.
GGCUUCCCUUUUCGUCCACGCCCUCAGGAGCGGUAGCACUUUCCCGGAAAGUUGUGGGGCUGCGGGUCUAAAGUUUCGGGGGCUAGGGGCCGAAGGUGGCCGCCGCUCCGCCUCCCUCCGCCGCCAUUUACUGCGCCCCGGCCCGGCCUCGACGCGCCCGCACCAACACUGACAGCGGCGGCCGCGCUCCAGACCCGGAUGUGAGGCCGGGAGGAGAGAGCGCGAGAGGGAGAGAGAAACACCCACCGGGCGGCUCGGCCGCUCCCGGGAGAGGAGGCCGCAGCGCCCCCUGGUGGCAGGCGCCGGGCGCGGGGUGGCCGGCCGCCGCCGGGUGCUGGCCGCAGGAGACCCCGCGAAGAGGACCCGGGGAAGAGCCGGCGGCUCCUGAGGACCAGGGCAACUGGGGUCAGACUCUCAUCACAUUAUUUAUAUUGUAUAUGAUGACAAUGUUGCUAAGAGGACAAGAUGAUGAAAGUCUAAGGAAACUGAAGGACUGAGAAUUGGGUAUGAAAAAUAUGAAUUGACAAACAUUGGAAUACUUCUAUUUUUCAAAAAACAUUUUUAUUUAUUUAUUUGAUAGGCAGAGAUACAGAGGGAGAGAGGAGAGGGAGGGAGGGAGGGAGGGAGGGAGAGAGAGAGAGAGAGAGAGAGAGAAAUCUAUCCACCAGUUCACUGUCCAAAUGGCUGCAAUAGCCGUGGCUGGGCCAGGCUGAAGCCAGAAGCCAGGAGCUUCUUCCAGGUCUCCCACAUGGGCACAGGGGCCCAAGCACUUGGGCCAUCUUCUACUGCUUUCCCAGGCACAUAAGUACAGAGCUGGGUCAGAAGUGGAGCAGCCAGUACUUGAACCAGUGUCUAUAUAGGAUGCCGGCGCUAUAGGCUGAGACUUAACUUUCUAUACCACAGUGUGGUUCUUUUAAUGUUUCUCUCAUCAAAAACAACUUCCUUGGAUGUUUGGCACAGCAGUAGAGAUGUUGUUUGGGUUCCUCGUAUCCCAUGUUGGAGCAUCUGAGUUCCCGACCUGAUUCUGCUUCUAAUUCCAGCUUCCUGCACAUGCACACCCUUGGGGAGGCAGUAGGUGGUGGCUGAAGUAGUUGGGUCCUUGCCACCCAUGUGUAAGACAAAGAUUGAUUUCUGGGUUCCUGGCUUCACCUGGACCCAGGCCAAGCUAUUGCAAGCAUUUGGGGGAGUGAGCCAGCAGGUGAGAGAUCUGUCUCUGCCUUUUAAAUAAAUACAUAAUAUAAUAUUUUUAAAAACCCA